Picea glauca (white spruce) is the source of this 121-nucleotide non-coding RNA. The record is from Rfam. Lineage: Eukaryota; Viridiplantae; Streptophyta; Pinopsida; Pinales; Pinaceae.
GCCCUCUGGUCAAGACAGAGCGAACUAUUCUUUCUCCUUUUACUAAAGAAUACCACGUGUUGGCCACUCUCAGCCGCAUACACCAAUUUUUGGAGCCUUCCAUCUCUUUUCUAAACAUGGA